UGGGGCAGGAGUGGCAAAGUU
Molecule: unclassified non-coding RNA, 21 nt
Filed under: synthetic construct
Source: RNAcentral